GUUAUCGUCCUUUUUUCAUACUGUCAUGAACUUGUGAUCUUUCCUAGAAAAUCUCAUGCAAGGUCGUUAUUUUCUCUGAUGCUUUUUUCUGUUAUUGCCCAGCUAGAAGGGGAAGUUUGUUAGGUUAGAUACAUCAUUGUGGUGUGCAUUUUAUUGGUGUCAUCUGCGUCCUCAUUAUGGUCCGAGCCAUUUCUCCGUCUUGUGGUGAUCUUGGGACCAUUCUAACUUAAUGCUGCCUAAGAGCCCCAUAAAAGUGGGCAUAGCAAGAGUUUUGCUGUGUCAAUUACCGGCUUUUUUUUACCAACCUUACACACGGAAAAAUCCCCUACUUCCCUAUGGUGUUUUUUUCUUUCUAUUUAUAUAAGUACAGUGUAGAAGAAGGCAUUAUUUGGUAUGCUUAAGUCUGGUACUUCAGUAUUAAAGGAUUAUUAUAAAUCUCCUAACGAGGUUGGAGAUGUCGAUGUGAAAUUCACUUUACAUUUCCUCUUAGUGAAUUCAAAUAGGACAAGUAGGCAGUAGGAGCAACCAAGUGCAUUAAGUUAGUCGACUUCAAUGUGUAGCAUCAUGGGCCAUUUAAAUAAGAAGAUGGAGAGCUUUUGACACUUACUGUAACUGCAUUGGCUUGACAUCUUGCCUUGAUCCAGGUUAGUGGGAUGCCAGUCAUACAAGUAAGCUUUGUCUCUGAGACAAGUGGAUCAUAGCUUCCCUGAGCUUUUCCUCAUGCUGAUCAUUUAAUUAAUUAUUGCAUUGUACCAUCUGUGGUAUGCAAACUAAAAGCUAAAGCAGUUAUAGGGGAGUCAUUUAUGAUUUAUGUUUGUAUUUUGUAGUUUCAGUGCCUUCCUCAUGGUUCUUCAUACUCAGAUGCUUGGCCUCUUUAGUCCUGGCACCACUUAUUUGUUUUGAAGCACAUUGUGAGCAUGCUUCAGGUUUGUUCCCCGCAGCUGGGCCUUGAUGGUGGUGAUGCUUAUAUAAGAAGGUUGUUGCAGGCCCUAUGCUCGCUUAUUAUGUAUCAUCGCCAGGGAGUCUUUUGAGGUUUCUACUCGGCUAAAUAUACAAAUUGAAGUUGGAUCAUUUAGCUAGCCUCAUCGAUAGUG
Molecule: long non-coding RNA, 1094 nt
Organism: Lolium rigidum
Lineage: Eukaryota; Viridiplantae; Streptophyta; Magnoliopsida; Poales; Poaceae
Exons: 3
Source: RefSeq, a predicted model, not a curated record